GGUAUACACCAAUUAACUCAGACUAUUUGACCUAUUUGUCUUCAUACAGCCUCAUGUAUUGGAUCAUGAACCAAAUUCAAUACCUGCUCAUAAUACCUAUGGAAAUGAUACCAUAUAUACCUGGAUUCACAUCCCACUUUAUUCUACUUGGGACCAGAAACCCCACAAGAGAACAAAGCUUGUUCACUGAUAAAUGUCCACAUCUCUUCCAGGAUCUAACAAGAGUUUGUGCUCAGUAAGUAUUGGGUGGGUGGAUGGAUGGAUAGAUGGAUGGAUGAACGGGAAGCUA
Molecule: long non-coding RNA, 289 nt
Filed under: Mustela putorius furo (domestic ferret)
Lineage: Eukaryota; Metazoa; Chordata; Mammalia; Carnivora; Mustelidae
Description: lncRNA (ENSMPUG00000031487.1)
Source: RNAcentral